CGCUGGCGGCGCGCUUAACACAUGCAAGUCGCACGAGAAAGUGGAGCAAUCCAUGAGUACAGUGGCGUACGGGUGAGUAACACGUGGAUCAUCUACCUCGUAGUGGGGAAUACCCCCGGGAAACUGGGGAUAAUACCGCAUAAUCCUGUGAAGGGAAAGCCGAAAGGCGCUGUGAGAGGAGUCCGCGGCCGAUUAGCUAGUUGGUGAGGUAAUGGCCCACCAAGGCGAAGAUCGGUAGCCGGCCUGAGAGGGCACACGGCCACACUGGCACUGAAACACGGGCCAGACUCCUACGGGAGGCAGCAGUGGGGAAUCUUGCACAAUGGAGGAAACUCUGAUGCAGCGACGCCGCGUGAGCGAUGAAGCCCUUCGGGGUGUAAAGCUCUUUCGACGGGAACGAUAAUGACGGUACCCGAAGAAGAAGCUGCGGCU
Molecule: ribosomal RNA, 432 nt
Filed under: uncultured bacterium
Lineage: Bacteria
Description: bacterial SSU rRNA
Rfam family: Bacterial small subunit ribosomal RNA
Source: RNAcentral